Molecule: long non-coding RNA, 3236 nt
Organism: Hipposideros armiger (great roundleaf bat)
Lineage: Eukaryota; Metazoa; Chordata; Mammalia; Chiroptera; Hipposideridae
Exons: 3
Source: RefSeq, a predicted model, not a curated record
CAGCUGCCAGGAGCCCACUGGGCAGGGGUGAGGGCUCAGGAGGCAGGGCGGGUGUGUCAGUUACUCUGGCCUUGAGAGGAAUCACGCGAGUUUGUUUCCUGACCAAAAGUUCAAAUACCAAGCUUCCCAGGACAAAACUGGUCUGACAACCGGAGACACACGACAACUGCCAGCUUGACCAUGGCGCACCAGCUGUUCUCCUCCCACCUUGGGGUAAAGAGCAACAGGUGGACCUCGGUCCACCCGACCCCCAUCCUGCAGCAUCACAGACAAGUUCAGCCAUUGUCCAGUGGCUGACGCCUGGCUUCGAACCUCAGGCCCACCUCCCACCCCCCGUCCUCUCCUCUCCCAUGUCUCUUCUGAUUCAGAAAUGUCUCUUUGAUGCUUUCAUUCCCAUGUCUGUACGACCCCCCAUCAGCACACAGCUCCUCCGUGGCCAUUUCAGGAAGCAGCGUUGCAUGGGGCUUCAGCGCCCAGGCUCUGGAACCAGAAUGCCUGGGUUAGGGUUCCAACUCCUUAACCAACUGAACGCAGAACGCUGAGCAAUUCACUUACGCUCUCUGCGCCCGCGGUCUCACUGGACAAAUGGGUUGAGGGAAGACUGAGUGACACAAAUGUGGCCUUUGCUUGGAAUGGGUGCUACCCCAUAACCAGUGCUCAGUAGCUGUUAGUGACUAUUGCGACCCCUUUGUCUUACUGAUUUGCUUCUGCUUCGCACCCCAUGGUCUGUGCUUUAGGCCCACUCUUGGUUAAAAGUUAAUCACCAGAUAACCACCCACCCUCACCGUGGGCGAACUGUCAGAACGGAAUAGUAAUCGCGCAUGGUUGUAGCUAAGGAACAGAUCAAUUUUAGAGCUCAUUAUGACAGUGAGCUAAAAAUCAUCUUCUGUUAAGAGAUUUGUGAGCAGAAAGGCUGAAAUGAACGGAUGAGGAGGAGCCCACAAAUGGGGAAACACCGUGAACAGAUGUGGAGCGCUAUUAGAUGCUGGCUGUAAACCUGACACGGCCCUUGGGAGGCGGGUCCUGUACCCUGAGUCACUCAUUUUCCAUAAUCCUAGAUGAGAAUUCGCUGCGUCUGUAAGAACUUCAUGCCCACAGCCGUCGCUGGGGACCCGGAUCGCUCACCGAAUCCUUCCCCCUGUUCCAGCCAGGGUCCUCCUGUUCUCACAUUACCGGCAACGAAGACAUGGAUGGGGCUCGACGUCUUAAUAAGUUCCCAUCACACACUCAGAGGCUUCUGAUGUUUGUCACCACCAGCUCCGCCAGGAACAAGCCCUGUCCCUCUCACCUCUUGCCACAGGCUUAAUGUUUAUUAGCUCUGCGGCCUUCAUUUUCUCUUCUUUGGGAUCUUUGCAUCCCUGCUCAGUGGAUGAGACAGGAGCCCCAGGUGGAACAUCUAAUCCGCGAUUAGAAAGCUAGCAAGUGGAGAAACUGUAGACAUUUCUAGAGCCUUCCAACCACCACCCUUUCCACUUCCUUGUACAGGUCUACGUUGGGCGUCUUCUUUCCGGUUACCCAGACUCCAUGCUCCCCACCUCCCGGUAGUCGCAGCCCUUCCAUCCUGGUGCCUCCAGAAGAAUUCUUUCCUCCCACCUCACUCCCUUCUGCUCUGUUCUUCUCAAGUCUGAGCUCCUUGGAUGCAUGCAUCUGAUAAGCUAAUUCUCCAUAAAGUGCUAAUAAAUAAUAGUUUGGAAGACGCUUUUAGCACCGACAUUGUCCUCGACAAAAUGUCCAAACUCUCCCAAGCGGAGUGGGUUACUCUGUCUUUCGUGUCGCCUGCUACCAUGCCUACCUGCCUCCUGGGGCUUCUGUCUCAUGAAACUUUAUCACACAGCAUGGCAGGGUGGCCAAGAGCACGAAUGCUGGAGCCAAACUGCCCAGGCUGGCACCCUCAUUCUUAAUUGUCCUUGCUGUAUGACCUGGGUGACUUAAUUGUCUUUGUUCCUCAGCUUGCUCAACUAUAAAAGGAGGAUGAUAAUAUUAUCUGACUCAAGGCUGUUGUGAGGGUGGGAUGACUUAAUGUGUCUAGCACACACACCCUUUCCCCGGCACAUAAGCACCAACCUCACCAGCCUUCCAUAGUGGCACGACUCUCUCCUCUGCUACGCCGUGUUUUCUUCAUCUUCACAUCCCCAGGGCUCAACAGAGUGCCUUGCAUAUAGGAGGCGCUCUCAUAAGUGCUCUUGGACAGCAAGUGCGUGAGUUGUAGAGAAUUCAAGCUUAAAACAUGGGUAGGAUUUACAAGCAGACCUGGUUGAAGACCCUAUAUCCCACAGAUUGCUAGGAAAUGCCAAAAACCCAAGGAGCCCCAGCCAGGGAAGCUAAGUGCCCCAGAUGUAAACAGGACACAGGUCAUUUGACCUCCCUAAGGGGUUGGGGCAUAGAGACCCAGCUUGAAGCCUUGAUGAUUGCUCGUAAAUAAUUAAGGUUUGUUAAGAAGAUAAUAAACUGUCUCUUGAGAGCUGACCGGAAAGUAAUACAUCCAAGGAAGAUAAUGAAAUGCUUGAUGGAACUGGCUGCUUGAGGCAUACACAGCACAUUAUGGGAACCCUUGGGAAACUGGCAGUAAUGCUUCCACUUAGGAAAAUCCAUUUGCUCAGUGAAACCGCGUUCUUAAGGAGGCCAGAAGGGACCCCGCCUGCCCCAGGAGUAGACACAUGUUCUGGUGUUGAGAAAGUGCAGGACUCUGGAGAGAGUGGGCACUUCACAUCUGCAGGUUGAUUUUUUUCACAAAGCAGUGCUUUGUCCCACCUCCCCAGGUGGGAAUGGCCUCUGUGGACUCCCCAACUGGCAGCUGGGGCAGGAGAGAUCCAGAGGCAACUUGGGGGGGAGGUUAGAAAUCAAUGAAAGCGUGUUGAACUGUUUGUUCAACAUGGAUCUUUAAGAAUCUAUCAAUUCCGAUCAAUUCAAUGACUUUUCCCUAAGGCCCUAGUUUAGUGCAAUGCACCGGGAAAUGAUCACCAGUAUAUUCAUGCCUGCCUCCUCGGGGAGCUCGCUGGGGUCAUGCCAGGUACCUAUCUAUCUAUCUAUCUAUCUAUCUAUCAUCUAUCUAUCUAUCUAUCAUCAUCUACAGUUGACACGCAAUAGUAUAUUAGUUUCAGACGUACAACAUAGCAAUUCAACACUGAUAUACCUUAUGAUGUAGUCACCACAUUAAGUCUAGCAGCCACCAGUCACCAUGCAUGCUUACCACGAUAUUAUUGACUAUAUUCUUCACCCCUCCCCCACACCUGCCC